This is an RNA transcript of Acanthisitta chloris (rifleman), 801 nucleotides long. It is a transcript of the gene named thiamine transporter 2 pseudogene, with no coding region annotated. The transcript has a single exon. The record is from RefSeq and is a predicted model, not a curated record. NCBI's taxonomy places the organism in Eukaryota, Metazoa, Chordata, Aves, Passeriformes, Acanthisittidae.
GUUACCAACCAGAUUUUCCCAGUUUGGACGUACUCCUACCUCGCACUCCUUUUCCCAGUCUUCCUGCUCACAGACUAUGUGCGUUACAAGCCUGUCCUGCUCCUCCAGGGCAUCAGCCUCAUCCUCACGUGGCUCCUGCUCCUCUUUGCACAGGGAGUGGUGGCCAUGCAAGUGAUGGAAUUCUUCUACGGGAUGGUGACAGCCACCGAGGUCGCCUAUUACGCCUAUAUCUACAGCGUGGUCAGCACUGACCACUAUCAGAGAGUCACAAGCUACUGCAGGAGCAUCACCCUGGUGGCAGCCACUGUUGCUGCUGUGCUGGGACAGCUCCUGGUGUCCUUAGCAGACGUAUCCUACUUCCACCUUAAUGUUAUUUCUUUGGCUUCCGUGUGCCUGGCGUUCCUCUGUUCGUUUUUCCUCCCCAUGCCCCAAAGGAGCAUGUUCUUCCACAGGAAAGAUGCCUCUGAAUCUCUCCCAGAACCAGAUAAACUUGAGGCUCCAGUCAGUUCUGACAGGCCCUCGAGCUGCCAAGAGGACAAGAGCUCUGACUCUGCUGGCAGGGACCCAACCCCCAAAGAGCAGCCUGGGAAUGCCAAGCCCCAGAACCACAUGCUCAGUGUGCUGGUGCAGCUGAGCAAGGACCUGAGGGAUUGCUACAGCUCUAGGAAACUUCUCUACUGGUCCCUGUGGUGGGCUCUGGCCACAGCUGGCUACAACCAGGUCGUGAAUUAUGUCCAGGUGCUGUGGGACUUCCGAGCCCCCUCCCACAGCUCUGCAGUCUACAAUGGAGCUGUCGAAGCC